AAUGUAGAGCGAAUCUCAAAAAAGACAUUCUCAGUUCGGAUUGUGGGCUGCAACCCGCCCACAUGAAGUCGGAGUUGCUAGUAAUCCCGAAUCAGAAUGUCGGGGUGAAUGCGUUCCCGGGUCUUGUACACACCGCCCGUCACGCCAUGGGAGUCGGGGGUACCCGAAGUCGGUGAGCUAACCGCAAAGGAGGCAGCCGCCUAAGGUAAAACCGAUGACUGGGGUGAAGUCGUAACAAGGUAAC
RNAcentral lists this ribosomal RNA (244 nucleotides) under uncultured bacterium. Its description in RNAcentral is "partial 16S ribosomal RNA". It matches the Rfam family "Bacterial small subunit ribosomal RNA", at positions 1259 to 1500 of the family's 1533-position model. The record is from RNAcentral.